CACAUAAGCAGCCGCAGUCCAGUAUGGGAAUUUUUGUGCAGUGACAGAAAUCCUCUUGAUUAUAGAGGGAUGGCGCCAUUUUAGAUGUAUAUAUUUAAGCCAAACAGCAAAAUCCACCUGUGGUGGCCAUUUUGUUAUCCACUGAAAAUGACAUCACAGUUGCUCAAGGCUCAGGCUUCUUGCUUGUGGAGGAGUAGUUUGCAAUGACCACCAGCCUGCUUGACAGCCAAUAGCAGCAUGAUGGAAGAUUCCGGAGGAGGGCCGACGGGCAGGCAAGGCUGCGAAAAUGAACGUCAAUAUGCUGCCGAGGAAGGUCUGGGUCACUAUUGGCAGUGGUUGAACUCGUGAUGUUCUUUGGGUGACGACCAAACACGGCGGCCGAACAGUGUGGCAUCCAUGUUGACAAGGGCGGCCUUCCCCCCCCAAACCGCUUCCAUUUGGACCGCUUGCUCCUUAUUAGAGAAGAGACCCCAAGUCUUGCCCAACUAAUGAAGAUGAAUAUUCAGACGCUUCUGGAAGGCUGCCCGCUUCGUAGCUCAACU
Molecule: long non-coding RNA, 542 nt
Organism: Syngnathus typhle (broad-nosed pipefish)
Lineage: Eukaryota; Metazoa; Chordata; Actinopteri; Syngnathiformes; Syngnathidae
Exons: 3
Source: RefSeq, a predicted model, not a curated record